CUCAUUUGCAAUUUAAACUUAUUCUGAGCUAAAUGGAAUUUCCUUAAAUCACAGACACACAGUUUGCUGAAGAAUAUAUUGAUUCUUGUGUUUUGGGGUGUGGACAUUGCGAUAAUUUUCAUUAACCCCAUACUUAAGCUCCUCUUGUCUUCAUAUUGUGAGUGGUGCAAAUAUUGUAAAGUUGUGUAAACUUGUUUGAUGUUUUUC
Molecule: non-coding RNA, 207 nt
Organism: Pelobates cultripes (western spadefoot toad)
Lineage: Eukaryota; Metazoa; Chordata; Amphibia; Anura; Pelobatidae
Source: the annotation of a GenBank genome assembly